GACGAACGCUGGCGGCGUGCCUAAUACAUGCAAGUAGAACGCACAGUUUAUACCGUAGCUCGCUUCACCAUAGACUGUGAGUUGCGAAUGGGUGAGUAACGCGUAGCUAACCUGCCUGGUAGCGGGGGAUAAAUAUUGGAAACGAAAGCUAAUACCGCAUAAUAUUAAUUAUUGCAUGAUAAUUAAUUGAACGGUGCAAUUGCACCACUAGCAGACGGACCUGCGUUGUAUUAGCUAGUAGGUGAGGUAACGGCACACCUAGGCGAGGAUACAUAGCCGACCUGGGAGGGUGAUCGGCCACACUGGGACUGGGACACGGCCCAGACUCCUACGGGAGGCAGCAGUAGGGCAUCUUCGGCAAUGGACGAAAGUCUGACCGAGCAACGCCGCGUGAGUGAAGAAGGUUUUCGGAUCGUAAAGCUCUGUUGUAAGAGAAGAACGGGUGUGAGAGUGGAAAGUUCACACUGUGACGGUAUCUUACCAGAAAGGGACGGCUAACUACGUG
RNAcentral lists this ribosomal RNA (505 nucleotides) under uncultured bacterium. RNAcentral's name for it is "partial 16S ribosomal RNA". It matches the Rfam family "Bacterial small subunit ribosomal RNA", at positions 28 to 507 of the family's 1533-position model. The record is from RNAcentral.